This 227-nucleotide ribosomal RNA is filed under the name uncultured bacterium. Its description in RNAcentral is "partial 16S ribosomal RNA". It matches the Rfam family "Bacterial small subunit ribosomal RNA", at positions 107 to 334 of the family's 1533-position model. The record is from RNAcentral.
UGAGUAACACGUAUCCAACCUGCCGUCUACUCUUGGACAGCCUUCUGAAAGGAAGAUUAAUACAGGAUGGCAUCAUGAGUCCACAUGUUCACAUGAUUAAAGGUAUUCCGGUAGACGAUGGGGAUGCGUUCCAUUAGAUAGUAGGCGGGGUAACGGCCCACCUAGUCUUCGAUGGAUAGGGGUUCUGAGAGGAAGGUCCCCCACAUUGGAACUGAGACACGGUCCAA